GUCUAUGGCCAUACCACCCUGAACAUGCCUGAUCUUGUCUGAUCUUGGAAUCUAAGCAGGGUCGGGCCUGGUUAGUAUGUGGAUGGGAGAAUUCACUGCUUAGGGGGUCAGGUGGUACGUAGUGC
RNAcentral lists this ribosomal RNA (125 nucleotides) under Erinaceus europaeus (western European hedgehog). Lineage: Eukaryota; Metazoa; Chordata; Mammalia; Eulipotyphla; Erinaceidae. The record is from RNAcentral.